ACCCAGCUAACGAGCCCCACAUAGGACGAAACUCGCGUCCUAGAU
Molecule: non-coding RNA, 45 nt
Filed under: Schistosoma curassoni
Lineage: Eukaryota; Metazoa; Platyhelminthes; Trematoda; Strigeidida; Schistosomatidae
Source: RNAcentral